RNAcentral lists this ribosomal RNA (494 nucleotides) under uncultured bacterium. RNAcentral describes it as "partial 16S ribosomal RNA". It matches the Rfam family "Bacterial small subunit ribosomal RNA", at positions 28 to 507 of the family's 1533-position model. The record is from RNAcentral.
GACGAACGCUGGCGGCGUGCUUAACACAUGCAAGUCGAACGGUGGAGCGCCUUCCUUUUUGGUGGGUGUGGAUGAGUGGCGAACUGGUGAGUAACACGUGAGUAACCUGCCCCCUUCUGCUGGAUAACCGCAUGACGGUGUUGCUAAUACGGGAUAUUCUGGGUCUGUCGCAUGAUGGGUCUGGGACGGAUAUUGUUUCGGUGGGGGAUGGGCGCGCGGCCUAUCAGCUUGUUGGUGGGGUGAUGGCCUACCAAGGCGGUGACGGGUAGCCGGCCUGAGAGGGUGGGGGGUCACAGGGGGACUGAGACGCUGCCGAGACCUACAGGAGAGGGAGGAGUGGAGAAUAUCGCACAAGGGGAGCAAGCCUGAUGCAGAGGCCCCGUGUGAGAGAUGGAUGCCCUCGGGGUGAGAACCUCUUUCGCGAGUGAAGCAGGCCUGCAUCGUUUGGGGGUGGGUUGACGGUAGCUGGAUAAGAAGCGCCGGCUAACUACGUU